This 331-nucleotide long non-coding RNA is filed under the name Setaria viridis. RNAcentral's name for it is "long non-coding RNA (SVIR_LNC000024)". Lineage: Eukaryota; Viridiplantae; Streptophyta; Magnoliopsida; Poales; Poaceae. The record is from RNAcentral.
AAUGUUUUCUUUUCAUGUGAAAUUUUAAUUAAAAAUGGUGGCUCAAUAUAACACAUCAAAGAGAGCCUCUAGAUGUUUUUAUGUUUGAUACCAAAAGAUCAAUGUGUGUUGUAAAAUUUUGAAAAGGCAUAUUAUUGUCAAUAAAGUUGUUCUUCCUUCUUUUAUUUAGCUAUUCUAUAGUACAACUGUACAAGAUAAAUCUUAUGUGCUUAUUCGGUUGUUAAGAUCGAAAGAUGGCUGUUAAAAAAUAAUAGAGUGUAAUGGCAUCAAAGUACGAAUUCAAUAAAGGUACACAAAAUAUUUUAGCAUAGCUUCCAAUUUUACAUUGUAA